RNAcentral lists this ribosomal RNA (301 nucleotides) under uncultured bacterium. RNAcentral describes it as "partial 16S ribosomal RNA". It matches the Rfam family "Bacterial small subunit ribosomal RNA", at positions 509 to 808 of the family's 1533-position model. The record is from RNAcentral.
CAGUCGCCACGGUAAUACGUAGGUGGCAAGCGUUGUCCGGAAUUAUUGGGCGUAAAGGGUUCGCAGGCGGUUUCUUAAGUCUGAUGUGAAAGCCCCUGGCUCAACCGGGGAGAGUCAUUGGAAACUGGGAAACUUGAGUGCAGAAGAGGAGAGUGGAAUUCCACGUGUAGCGGUGAAAUGCGUAGAGAUGUGGAGGAACACCAGUGCGAAGGCGACUCUCUGGUCUGUAACUGACGCUGAGGAGCGAAAGCGUGGGGAGCGAACAGGAUUAGAUACCCCCGUAGUCCCUGUCUCUUAUACA